RNAcentral lists this ribosomal RNA (520 nucleotides) under uncultured marine eukaryote. Its description in RNAcentral is "bacterial SSU rRNA". It matches the Rfam family "Eukaryotic small subunit ribosomal RNA", at positions 29 to 568 of the family's 1831-position model. The record is from RNAcentral.
CUUGCUUGUUUCAAGNUAAGCCAUGCAAGUCUAAGUAUAAGCUAAAUUAUACGGCAAAACUGCGAAUAGCUCAUUACAACAGUUAUAAUCUAAACGAUGAUCAUUACUAAAUGGAUAUCCAUGGUAAUUCUGGAGCUAAUACAUGCUAAAACCUCUUGUAGGUGCAUUCAUUAGUUCGCGAAUCAUCCAGAAGGGCAACCUUCGGUUCUUGAUGAUCAGAGUGAAAAAGCGGAUCUCAUUUUGAGACAGUUCGUUCGAGUUUCUGACCUAUCAGCUUUUGUCGGUAGGGUAUUGGCCUACUGAGGCAGUAACGGGUAACGGGGAAUUAGGGUUCGAUUCCGGAGAGGGAGCCUGAGAAACGGCUACCACAUCUAAGGGUGGCAGCAGGCGCGCAAAUUACCCAAUCCCGACACGGGGAGGUAGUGACCAGAAAUAGCGGCGUGGGGCAUUUGCUUCACGACUGCAAUGAGUAAAAUGCAAAGUCGUUUGCGAGUAACAAUUGGAGGGCAAGUCUGGUANA